This 823-nucleotide ribosomal RNA is filed under the name Hemicycla sp. MN-2010. Its description in RNAcentral is "partial large subunit ribosomal RNA". Lineage: Eukaryota; Metazoa; Mollusca; Gastropoda; Stylommatophora; Helicidae. The record is from RNAcentral.
AGUAAUAAAAAAGUAUUAAUAUUUAAUUACACGAAGAUGUUCGAGCUACAUAAUACAAGAUAUUAGUCUAUUUAUAUGUGGCAUAAUAUUAUUAUAGUAUUAUGUAGGAGUGAUAGGCCCUUCAAGUACAUUGAUAUCUUGAUGCAUAAGAAAUAUAUGUAGUAUAAAGACAACCUACUAAAGUUAAGCUUGGUAGCAUCUAUUAAUAUAAUUAUUAUUUACUCGUUAAAGUUUAACCACUCACCGUUUUAAAUAUUAAUAUAAUUUAUUAAUUUUUAUAGAAAUUAUUAUGCAAUAUCUGACAAUUUAAAAAUAUAUAUAAUGUUAAUAUGAGUAGUUUAUUAAUAAAUAUUUUAUAUGAACUCGGCAAUAUUUUUUUCAACUGUUUAUCAAAAACAUAGUUAUAUGAUUUAUAUAUAAUUAUUUCUGCUCAAUGAUGUGUUAAAUAGCCGCAGUACUCUGACUGUGCAAAGGUAGCAUAAUCAGUUGGCUCCUAAAUAGAGUCUGGAAUGAACGAAUAUAUGAAGAACAGCUGUCUUAAAGUAUUUAAAUAAAAUUGGUUGUAGGUGAAAAUCCCUACAUACCUAUAAAAGACGAGAAGACCCUAGAAACUUAUAUAAUUGUUUUGUUGGGGCGACAAAUUUACAUAAAAACUAAUUUUUAAUUAACAUGGCGAUUUCAGAUAGAUAAAGUUACUCUAGGGAUAACAGCAUAAUAUUUUUUGUUUGUGACCUCGAUGUUGGACUAGGUAAAGUAUUCUUUAGAAGAGAAUAUAUAUGCUCUGUUCGAGCAGAAGAACCUACAUGAUCUGAGUUCAGACCGG